This 484-nucleotide ribosomal RNA is filed under the name uncultured bacterium. RNAcentral's name for it is "partial 16S ribosomal RNA". It matches the Rfam family "Bacterial small subunit ribosomal RNA", at positions 30 to 507 of the family's 1533-position model. The record is from RNAcentral.
AUUGAACGCUGGCGGCAGGCCUAACACAUGCAAGUCGAGCGGAUGAAGGGAGCUUGCUCCUGGAUUCAGCGGCGGACGGGUGAGUAAUGCCUAGGAAUCUGCCUGGUAGUGGGGGAUAACGUCCGGAAACGGGCGCUAAUACCGCAUACGUCCUGAGGGAGAACGUGGGGGAUCUUCGGACCUCACGCUAUCAGAUGAGCCUAGGUCGGAUUAGCUAGUUGGUGGGGUAAAGGCCUACCAAGGCGACGAUCCGUAACUGGUCUGAGAGGAUGAUCAGUCACACUGGAACUGAGACACGGUCCAGACUCCUACGGGUGGCAGCAGUGGGGAAUAUUGGACAAUGGGCGAAAGCCUGAUCCAGCCAUGGCGCGUGUGUGAAGAAGGUCUUCGGAUUGUAAAGCACUUUAAGUUGGGAGGAAGGGCAGUAAGUUAAUACCUUGCUGUUUUGACGUUACCAACAGAAUAAGCACCGGCUAACUACGUG